GAUGAACGCUAGCUACAGGCUUAACACAUGCAAGUCGAGGGGAAACGACAUCGAAAGCUUGCUUUUGAUGGGCGUCGACCGGCGCACGGGUGAGUAACGCGUAUCCAACCUGCCCAUCACUUGGGAAUAACCUUGCGAAAGUAAGACUAAUACCCAAUGACAUCCCACGAAGACAUCUGAAUGGGAUUAAAGAUUUAUCGGUGAUGGAUGGGGAUGCGUCUGAUUAGCUUGUUGGCGGGGUAACGGCCCACCAAGGCAACGAUCAGUAGGGGUUCUGAGAGGAAGGUCCCCCACAUUGGAGCUGAGACACGGUCCAAACUCCUACGGGAGGCAGCAGUGAGGAAUAUUGGUCAAUGGGCGAGAGCCUGAACCAGCCAAGUAGCGUGCAGGAUGACGGCCCUAUGGGUUGUAAACUGCUUUUAUAAGGGAAUAAAGUGGGUCUCGUGAGACUUUUUGCAUGUACCUUAUGAAUAAGGACCGGCUAAUUCCGUG
Molecule: ribosomal RNA, 492 nt
Filed under: uncultured bacterium
Lineage: Bacteria
Description: partial 16S ribosomal RNA
Rfam family: Bacterial small subunit ribosomal RNA
Source: RNAcentral